This 74-nucleotide transfer RNA is filed under the name Candidatus Gottesmanbacteria bacterium RIFCSPHIGHO2_01_FULL_43_15. RNAcentral describes it as "tRNA-Val". It matches the Rfam family "tRNA". From Rfam's summary of the family: Transfer RNA (tRNA) molecules are approximately 80 nucleotides in length. Their secondary structure includes four short double-helical elements and three loops (D, anti-codon, and T loops). Lineage: Bacteria; Candidatus Gottesmaniibacteriota. The record is from RNAcentral. RNAcentral also lists the same sequence under 1 other name.
GGGCUCGUAGCUCAGCUGGCUAGAGCGUCACAUUGACAUUGUGAAGGUCUGAGGUUCAAGUCCUCACGGGCCCA